RNAcentral lists this ribosomal RNA (502 nucleotides) under uncultured bacterium. RNAcentral's name for it is "partial 16S ribosomal RNA". It matches the Rfam family "Bacterial small subunit ribosomal RNA", at positions 28 to 507 of the family's 1533-position model. The record is from RNAcentral.
GACGAACGCUGGCGGCGUGCCUAAUACAUGCGAGUCGAACGAACCGCGACUGAGUGCUUGCACUUGGUCAAGGUGAGUGGCGAACGGGUGAGUAACACGUGGGUAACCUACCUCAUAGUGGGGGAUAACAGUCGGAAACGACUGCUAAUACCGCAUAGGACAUAGGAUCACAUGAUCCAGUGAGGAAAGGUGGCGCAAGCUAUCGCUAAGAGAUGGACCCGCGGUGCAUUAGCUAGUUGGUAGGGUAAAGGCCUACCAAGGCGAUGAUGCAUAGCCGACCUGAGAGGGUGAUCGGCCACAUUGGGACUGAGACACGGCCCAAACUCCUACGGGAGGCAGCAGUAGGGAAUCUUCCGCAAUGGACGCAAGUCUGACGGAGCAACGCCGCGUGAGUGAAGAAGGUCUUCGGAUCGUAAAGCCCUGUUGUUAGAGAAGAACAGCGCAUAGAGUAACUGCUAUGCGUGUGACGGUAUCUAACCAGAAAGCCACGGCUAACUACGUG